Molecule: non-coding RNA, 91 nt
Organism: Caenorhabditis elegans
Lineage: Eukaryota; Metazoa; Nematoda; Chromadorea; Rhabditida; Rhabditidae
Source: Ensembl
UCCAUGGGCGCGCGCCAGUAGAGGUCAAACAAAUUACGUUUGUGUGUGUGUGUGUGCGCGCGCAAAAGAGGGCCGCCAAGCCCGGGGGGCC